UUGAUUUAUUUAAUCGUGUUACUCAGAAGAUACUAAAAAGAAAUACAAGAGUUUGGGUCCCCCGGCGGGCGCCUGAGUCCGGGCCCGAAGGCACCGGGGCGGAUCCGCCGAAGCAACGAUAGGUAUGUUCACAGGGGUUUGGGAGUUGUAAACUCGGUAAUGAUCCCUCCGCUGGUUCACCAACGGAGA
This 189-nucleotide unclassified non-coding RNA is filed under the name uncultured fungus. RNAcentral describes it as "sequence contains ITS1". Lineage: Eukaryota; Fungi. The record is from RNAcentral.